This 264-nucleotide ribosomal RNA is filed under the name uncultured anaerobic ammonium-oxidizing bacterium. Its description in RNAcentral is "partial 16S ribosomal RNA". It matches the Rfam family "Bacterial small subunit ribosomal RNA", at positions 797 to 1051 of the family's 1533-position model. The record is from RNAcentral.
UAGCUGUAAACGAUGGGCACUAAGUAGAGGGAAUUACCGAUAUUCUCUCUGCCGUAGCUAACGCAUUAAGUGCCCCGCCUGGGGAGUACGGCCGCAAGGCUAAAACUCAAAAGAAUUGACGGGGGCUCGCACAAGCGGUGGAGCAUGUGGCUUAAUUCGAUGCAACGCGAAAAACCUUACCGGGGCUUGACAUGGUAGAAGUAGGAACCCGAAAGGGUAACGAACGGUAUCCAGUCCGUAGCUAUUACAGGUGUUGCAUGGCUG